Mesocricetus auratus (golden hamster) is the source of this 984-nucleotide long non-coding RNA. RefSeq lists it as uncharacterized. The transcript has 5 exons. The record is from RefSeq and is a predicted model, not a curated record. NCBI's taxonomy places the organism in Eukaryota, Metazoa, Chordata, Mammalia, Rodentia, Cricetidae.
GGCAGCGGAAAACUGCUUGUCUCAUCUGGGUUACUUGUUUGGUAUCUUCACACCUGGAAGUACUCAUGGAGUCCAAAAGAAGGCAUAGGAUCCACCGGACCUAGCAUUACAGACAGUUGUGAGUCGUCAUGUGGGUGCUGGAGAUGGAACCCAGGUCCUUAACCAGUGCUGGGUUGCAGGUGUCUACCAUCACGCCAUGUCAGUUCAGGUAUACCUUGGGAGGCAGAAAACUGUAGACUCCUAAACAUGGGCAGGAAAUAGUAUGCAUAUGCAAAUAUUUGUCUCAAGUAUGAAAAAUAAUUACAGAAAUAACAGAAAAAAAAAACAGAACAAAGGAGAUGGCACUUGAAGCACUUCUCUGGAGUAAAACACAGUCGAUACAGAGACAAGGAGCCAGGUGUGAUCCAGAGCUUCUGGACAAGGCUUCUCUUUGAUGGCUACUCUCAGAGAAAAGAGAUGGCUAGAAAAAACUGGAAAGCCAUUGCCAGCCUUACCUAAGAGAUACGUUAAAUUCAAAGGAAAGACUGUAGAAGUUGUCCCUUAUCUUUCAAAUCUUUUAAAAUAUUAACUAACUUUGUUAGUGCAUAAAGUGGCUAACGAGAUAAUACUAUUGUAUACUUCUUUCUUAUUUAUUCUCCUCCUUAACUAUCCUUUACCUAUUCUUAUUUCUCCCUUCUUUCUGGUUUCCUUGUUUCUCCUAAAUAGUUCUCCUAUCUGCUAUUUAUAUCACUUGCACUGUGUUAACCUCUUGCUUCUCCUUCCUCUCCCUAAAGACCACUUCUUUCCAUUUCUACUUUCAUGACUUGCACACACACAUAUUCAUGUGUACAUGCAUGUACACACAGACACACACAAUAUAUGUAUAUUCAUAUUUAAAUUUAGAUGAAUGUAUUUGUCUUUCUGUGUUUGUAUUAUUUUGCUUAACAAAAUCUCUAUUUCCAUCAAUUUUCCUGCAAAAAAAUCUUGACUUCACAUUUCUUUUCU